This 425-nucleotide ribosomal RNA is filed under the name uncultured bacterium. RNAcentral describes it as "partial 16S ribosomal RNA". It matches the Rfam family "Bacterial small subunit ribosomal RNA", at positions 354 to 796 of the family's 1533-position model. The record is from RNAcentral.
GUGGGGAAUCUUGCGCAAUGGGCGAAAGCCUGACGCAGCCAUGCCGCGUGAAUGAUGAAGGUCUUAGGAUUGUAAAAUCCUUUCACCGGUGAAGAUAAUGACUGUAGCCGGAGAAGAAGCCCCGGCUAACUUCGUGCCAGCAGCCGCGGUAAUAAGAAGGGGGCUAGCGUUGCUCGGAUUUACUGGGCGUAAAGGGCGCGUAGGCGGACAUUUAAGUCAGGGGUGAAAUCCCGGGGCUCAACCUCGGAACUGCCUUUGAUACUGGGUGUCUUGAGUAUGAGAGAGGUGUGUGGAACUCCGAGUGUAGAGGUGAAAUUCGUAGAUAUUCGGAAGAACACCAGUGGCGAAGGCGACACACUGGCUCAUUACUGACGCUGAGGCGCGAAAGCGUGGGGAGCAAACAGGAUUAGAUACCCUUGUAGUCC